Esox lucius (northern pike) is the source of this 236-nucleotide long non-coding RNA. RefSeq lists it as uncharacterized. The transcript is spliced from 3 exons. The record is from RefSeq and is a predicted model, not a curated record. NCBI's taxonomy places the organism in Eukaryota, Metazoa, Chordata, Actinopteri, Esociformes, Esocidae.
CAUCAUCACCAUCAUCCUCGACGUUGUUACUAUCAACAGAUUCUCUGUCAUUCAGGUGCAGUUCUCUCAGAUACUGGCAUCAUCAUCAUUGUGAGAGUAUCAAAAUGAAAGCUAAGACCGUCAGCAGCUCCAAGGUCUUGGAUAAAACUGGGACCAGUCUCAUACACCCAGGUGACCAGUUGUAUGUCCUCAGAUCAAUCUCAUCCAGCACACCCUUUGACAUCAGCAGUGCGUUG